Molecule: ribosomal RNA, 760 nt
Filed under: uncultured Prevotella sp.
Lineage: Bacteria; Pseudomonadati; Bacteroidota; Bacteroidia; Bacteroidales; Prevotellaceae
Description: bacterial SSU rRNA
Rfam family: Bacterial small subunit ribosomal RNA
Source: RNAcentral
GAUGAACGCUAGCUACAGGCUUAACACAUGCAAGUCGAGGGGCAUCAUGCGGAUUGCUUGCGAUCCGUGAUGGCGACCGGCGCACGGGUGAGUAACGCGUAUCCAACCUUCCCGCUGCUGGGGGAUAACCCGGUGAAAGCCGGACUAAUACCCCAUAAUCCCCGUUGACGGCAUCCGAUUCGGGGCAAAGUUUUUUUCGGCAGCGGAUGGGGAUGCGUCCGAUUAGUUAGUUGGUGAGGUAACGGCUCACCAAGGCUUUGAUCGGUAGGGGUUCUGAGAGGAAGGCCCCCCACAUUGGGACUGAGACACGGCCCAAACUCCUACGGGAGGCAGCAGUGAGGAAUAUUGGUCAAUGGGCGCAAGCCUGAACCAGCCAAGUAGCGUGGAGGACGACUGCCCUAUGGGUUGUAAACUCCUUUUAUGCGGGGAUAAAGUGCCUCACGUGUGGGGUAUUGCAGGUACCGCAUGAAUAAGGACCGGCUAAUUCCGUGCCAGCAGCCGCGGUAAUACGGAAGGUCCCGGCGUUAUCCGGAUUUAUUGGGUUUAAAGGGAGCGCAGACUGCUUGUCAAGCGUGCAGUGAAACGCCGUGGCCCAACCACGGUCCUGCUGCGCGAACUGGCUUGCUUGAGUGGGCCGUAGGUACGCGGAAUUCGUGGUGUAGCGGUGAAAUGCUUAGAUAUCACGAGGAACUCCGAUUGCGAAGGCAGCGUACCAUAUCCCAACUGACGUUUAGGCUCGAAGGUGCGGGUAUCGAACAGG